GGAGGGAUGGCCGAGCGGACGAAGGCGCUGGUCUCGAAAACCAGUAGAGUCGCAAGAUUCUCGUGGGUUCGAAUCCCACUCCCUCCGCCA
This 90-nucleotide transfer RNA is filed under the name Deltaproteobacteria bacterium. RNAcentral describes it as "tRNA-Ser". It matches the Rfam family "tRNA". From Rfam's summary of the family: Transfer RNA (tRNA) molecules are approximately 80 nucleotides in length. The record is from RNAcentral. Lineage: Bacteria; Pseudomonadati; Myxococcota; Myxococcia. RNAcentral also lists the same sequence under 2 other names.